RNAcentral lists this ribosomal RNA (400 nucleotides) under uncultured bacterium. Its description in RNAcentral is "bacterial SSU rRNA". It matches the Rfam family "Bacterial small subunit ribosomal RNA", at positions 355 to 747 of the family's 1533-position model. The record is from RNAcentral.
UGGGGAAUAUUGCACAAUGGAGGAAACUCUGAUGCAGCGACGCCGCGUGGGUGAUGAAGGCCUUCGGGUUGUAAAGCCCUGUCGGCUGGGAACAAGUUAGACGUGCUCAUACCACGUUUGAUUGAGUGUACCAGCAAAGGAAGCACCGGCUAACCCUGUGCCAGCAGCCGCGGUAAUACAGGGGGUGCUAGCGUUGUUCGGAAUUACUGGGCGUAAAGGGCGCGUAGGCGGCUAUACAAGUCAGGAGUGAAAUCCCGGAGCUUAACUUCGGAAUUGCUUUUGAAACUGUAUGGCUAGAGUAUGUUAGAGGAAAUCGGAAUUCCUAGUGUAGAAGUGAAAUUCGUAGAUAUUAGGAAGAACACCGGUGGCGAAGGCGGAUUUCUGGGACAUUACUGACGCU